UUUUAAAAAUAAUUAUUUAUGUAAAUAAUUCAUAGCAGAGUUUUCAGUAUUUGAAAUAUAAAUUCUUAUAAUAGGAAUUUUACAAGACCAUUAAUUUUAGCAGGGCUGGGAAACACAACUAUAAUUUAGGAGCUAUUGUUGAUUGUUUCUAGAAAUAGAUAUUGACCCCAUUAGUUUUAAGUGAUAACAUUACUAAGCCAAGUAUUAAUCCAACAAUACCAGAAUUACUGAUUUUAAUCAGCAUUUUUAUUCAAAACCUUCCUUUAGCACUUAAAUUUCACUUAGCUUGUCAUACAUAAAUAUAAGUGUAAAAUUUCAAUAAAUUAUCUUAGAAUUCUCAUUUUUAAAGUUAUUACAAAAUUAAUGCCUGCAGAAGCUCCAGUGCCUAAAGUCUUUUGUUUGUUACAGUCACUUUAGUAUGCAUUUUGGCUCUGGUGGAAAAGAUGCCACCCUCUCAGACAUUGUUUCAUUAAUCAAGAGGGUAUCCUCGGGGUCCAGAGAAGCCUCGUGGCGCAAUAAUCAAUCCCUGUGUCAUUUAGUUGUUAUGAAAUUCUCUCAAGGAGAGGAAGUCAUCAUCAUCAACAAUAGCAACAACAAGCAUAGCAGCUAACAUUUACUGGGUCCUCACUAUGUGCCUCACUAUGUGCCAGGUAUGGUUCCUUGACAUGUAUCAACAUAUUUAGUCCUCACAACCAAUGAAAUGGUUUGGAAAAUGAUUUUGUGAAGUUUGUUAACUGCAUUUACAACUGUUAAAUAUUUUCACAUACAGCAUGUAUGUCUCCAUUUGUAUUCUUGUUUUGAGACCCAUAGAUGCUAGGGCAGGGGGUGCUUAAUGAAGUCUACUCACAAACAAAUCUGCUGUCACCAACAAGAGUAUAAUUUGUGUUCAUUUUGGAGAGGUUAGAUUAACACUAAUUUUGGAGUUUAAAACCACCUCAGUCCAUCAGAGAUGUCAGGCUUUGUUGACGAUGCAUAAUUCCACAAGCACCUGAUGAAAGAGACAAAGUAUCUCAGAGACGGGUCUUAAGGCUGGGUGUCUGGGAGGUAACUAAAAGUAUAUAUGUGUUGCAAAUAUUAAGUGGUAAAAGAAUAAUGUGACGAUGGGCUGUUCAUAUUCAAAUCUGAAUUUAGCUAUUGUUUGGCAACAAAUGCUUAAACACCACCCCAAGAAGAGCCCAAAGAAAAACCUUCCCUUUUUUGCUUAUUCAGUUUUUUAAUUCUACACUUAAAAGUAGAGACAACAGCAAAAUCAAUGAUAUUUUGGGGGUUACUAUAUAAAACCAUUUAAGUUCAUUUGAUGAACAUUCAUUAAAGCUCUGGGAACUUAACUCAAUGGUAAACUGGUCUUGCUCAACUAUUUACUUAAAACUCCUUUGGUGUUUGUCUUGAUGAUAAACGAUUGUCUCCAUCUAAGCCUUCUUUUCCCUUAUACCUGAAUCUUAAUAAGCACCUUUAAAGAUCCUAAGACAGUCUUUGCUGUAACUAUUGCAUAUUUUGGAACCCAGAACAUUUAAACGUAUGGAUGAGUUGAGAAGCACUUGUGAACUAUUCAGUAUUUUGCAAUUUUAACACAAAUUUCUCAGAAUAAAAGCACUAAGUUAGCAGGAUAAUAUUACCAGAUGUAUUUACUUGGUGCUUCUGAGACUUUGGUAUUUUAUGGGUUAAUAAUUAACUUUUGGUAAUUAUUGGGCUUCUUUCCAAUUUACUGAUGGACAAUGGUGUUAUUAGGAUAACUGCUACCUGCUGUAACAAACAAACUCCACCCUAGAUAAUUGAUCAAAUAGAAUAGAAUGUUACUUUUCACUCUUACAAAGUCCAGCAUGGGCAUUGCUGAUUGCAGGCAGCUUUCCUGUGGGCAGUCAAUCAGGGACCCCCAGAGUCUUCCCAGAGGAUGGACCCAGCAUCUUUAACAUGUGGCUUCUAAGGUCUCUGGGUACAUCUGCAUCAAGCCAGUGAAAGAAGCAUGAAGAAGAGGAGGGGCACAAUUGGACUGGAAGCGACACACAUCACUUCUGCUUAUGUUUUAUUGGCAAAAAUGUGAUUCACCGUUUAAAAGCAAGGGGAGAGGGCUGGGAAGUAUAGAAUCUAAGGGACAGCACUUCUGAGCGAUAAGUGUGUACUAUGGAAGGGAAACCACACAUAUUUGGUAUGGUUAUCAUCAUCUGAAGGCAAUCCAGAAAUAUCAGUGAUUACCCCCAAAGAACCCUGGGCUGGUGCACUGACCAGUGACUGAAGAGUCAACUCCCCUAACAUCCAGCCUAAGUUAAGGCUCUAGGUACUACAUCGCUGGUUUCCAGCCAGUGGGACUCUACAUUCAAACAAGUGGCCUCUACUUAGAAAUCAGAGGGAAAUUUAAUCGAAUACUAAGCUAAUGAGAAGGAAUUUAAUCAUAACAAAAUAAUAACCCACAUUUAUUAGCAUUCACUAUGUUUUGGGCAUUGUUCUAAGCACUUUACAUAUGUUAGUUUAAUUAAUACUCCAGAUGACGCUAAAGGCAAUUAUUCUUAUUUGGCCCAGUUUACAGUUGGGAGACUGAGGCACAGGGAAGGGAGUAAAUUCCCCAAAGCUAUAUGGUAAACAUCAAUUAGAAUCUAAAUUCAAAUCUAGACAAUCUAAUUCUAUUAGACUAUCUUAUCUCCCAUGAAAGAUAGAAAAAUACCAUUUGAAAAGAAAGGGGAAAAUGGGGAAGAACAGUUUCUUCCUGAAAGAAACUUCCUCUAAUUAGACUUUGCUUAGGUUACACCUUAUAAUUUUGUACAAUUCACUCCCAGCCUGCAGACUUCUGUCCUUUUCUCCACAGGAUGUUUUCUACCUUGUGCAUGUCAUGUGGGUUCAGCAAAGGACUGAAUUUUAAAAUGACCUCUAACCUCAAGGAAUUUGGAUUCUGUUGAGGAGGAAAGAGAUUCUAAAAUAAUAGAAAAGGACAGUCAAUAUUAAAGGACAAAUAAAAGGCAGGCGAUAGGAUUUCCAGGAAGGGUGGGAAUUUUCAAGAAAGAGUUUAUGAAGGAUGAAGGUUUUAACUGGUCCUUAAUAAAUGGGCAGAAUUUCAUGAAUAGAAAAGUACAGAAGACUUCAAAGGAGAAGGAUGAUGGGAACAAAGAUUUGGGUGGAUAAAGGCAGUAUUUGUAGCAGCAUGGCUGUAAUAGAAGGCAAUUUUGGGAAUUUGUGAGAGUUAUAUCUUUAACCACUUUUGCUUUAGAACUUAUUUUUGCAUAUAUUUUUAAUUCAAUGUAACCAUCUGGUAAGACCUGGCACUCGAUGAUUUGUUGCAGUAGUAGUGUUUAUCUAAGGAGCUACGUAUGUAGGCACAGGAAAAUGAAUACUGGGUUCUGGGAACAAAGACUGGGGAGGGAUUUCCAAACAAAUGCCACCUUCUACUCAUUUCAACAAGUGUGAGAGUUAAGGAAUGUGCUUCACUGCCAUUACAUUUCUGGGUCCCCAGAGCUUCUUACAGAGAACCUAACCAAGACCUUGGGGUAUUCAGCCUGUCCUGCUUCUAAGUACUUUUAGAGUAACUGACCAUUCUUAUGUACCUAUGUCACUUCUCAACUCUGCUUUCUCAUGCAGCGAACACUUCAUUCCUCCUUCAAAUCAAGGGAUGAGCCCCUGGAGGACACUAAGCGAGUUCUGAAUUCUCUGAGGAGCCACCUCUGACUAUGACUGUUCUUCUUUGUCAAUCACAGAGCACUUCCAGUGCCAUCAUUGCUGUUUUCAGUAUUAUGUUGUUGCUGUAGGCAACAUGAAACUGACAAGGGAUGGCACGGAGAAGAGCUGAAAGGGCACUUCUGUUUUUUUGAUGCAUCUGACACCUGUAGUUACAAGAAAGAAAACAGCUUUCUUAAGCAUAUUGCUGGGUGACGUAGAAGGUGAAAGAUGAUUUAGAAAUAGCUUUUCAAUGCAACAGCACAAUAGAAUCUAAACUGCUUCUGUGUACUUCCAUCCUGAGAGUAUCUUCCUAAGUAGAAGCAAUAUGGUCAGGUAGUUUCCUAGGAGUCUCUGGAUAGAGUUAGGCUUCAGUGAAGACCCAGUCUAACCCUUAGAAUUUAAGUAUGUACUAGUAAAACUGUCUUACCAGUACUUACUUUUAUAUAUCAGGCUCAUUAUGAUGAAUGCAAGAAGCAUGGUGAGAAAAGCUUAUCAUCAGUCUUACUCACAAGCACUGGAGGAGAAAGAAAGAGAAAAUCCUCCUUGUAACCUUUUGCAUGUCUCCUAAACCAUGGCAAGAAAGAAAAACUAUGAUUGUUGAAAUAGAGGUUUACAUCCCAGGCUAGGACAAAUAUUCAGCAUAGAGCCUCAACAUUUCAUAUAUAUGCAUUUAAGUAAUAAUAAUAAAUACAAAAAAAGUCCACAACACAUAGGACUAUAAUUGAGGACUAAUUAGGUGCCAAUUUCUAGGCCAUAUGUUUUGCAAUGCAGUAUCUCAUCUAAUUUUAGUGAGAAAGGUACUAUGCACAAUUGUUAUCUCCCCUUUACAAAUGAGAAAAUUAAGGCAUAGAGAAAUUAAGUAGCUAUCCAGAGUUGGGCAACUAAUGACACAGGACUUCUUAUUCUUCCCCACAGGAGCCCUGCAUUUUAGAAAGAUUUCUCUUUGCAUUGUCUCACAUAGAAGCAUCUUAUUUCUACCUUUUACUCUACCACUCCUGUACAUUCUUAUAUAGCUUUGUAGAUUACCAUUUUUAUUCUUAAAUUAUUGCACUGUGUUCACAGGUAUAAUUAUCUCCAAUUGGAGGGGAGUCUCCCAUAUUCCCUGGCAGAUAUCUGGUUAUUAAUUGCUUAAAAAUAGAUAACUAGGGCUUCCCUGGUGACGCAGUGGUUGAGAGUCCGCCUGCCAAUGCAGGGGACACGGGUUCGUGCCCCGGUCCGGGAAGAUCCCACACGCCACGGAGCGGCUGGGCCCGUGAGCCAUGGCCGCUGAGCCUGCGCGUCCGGAGCCUGUGCUCCGCAACGGGAGAGGCCACAACACUGAGAGGCCCGCGUACUGCAAAAAAAACAAAACAAACAAACAAACAAACAAAAAAGAUAACUGGAGUUGAUUUGUUCUCUAUCACUUCUGUCUAUAGAUCGUACCAUCCACAUGUAUAUUAUUAUACGGAUAUUGGUACUUCAGUCUCAGCUAUGAAUUUCCAUGUGGAAGGAUUAGUAAAAAGGUAAUAUUAGGAUUCCACCUCAAAUGGAUGUAAUCCCUAGUUAGCAUCUUAAAAUACUUAAACUCCUUAUUAUCCCCUUAGCACACCAUGGUAUUGACAGAACUUUGUUUUACCUUAUCAUUAUAACAUCAUCUCUGAGAAUUUCCACUUGUAUCAUUACAAGAUGAUUAUGACAGCUUCACUAAGCCUCAUUCAUGUGAAUGGAAAAUUAGUGCCAUGAAGAAAAUUUCUAAUAAUUAUUUUCCAAGACAUAUUGGUACUUUUCAAACUUAAACUCAUUAAACUGAUUUGAAUCUCAUUUCAGCAAAUCCAUACCAAGUGUUAUUAAGUUAUUCUCAUACUACUUUUAGGUAAAGAUUUAAUCAGGAAAUAUGUUACUAAAAUCCAUAUGCAUAACCUUAAUAUCAUCACAUAUGUGGCAAUGGUAUAUGUGGAUCUCAAUACUUCCAGAGUAAGUCUCAAAAUAAUUAUAUAGUAAAUUAAAUUAUCAAAAUAAUCAACAAGUAAAUAGUACCCCAGAUACUGUGCUAGUUGUUCUACAUUCAUUAUCUUAUUUAACAUGCACAACCUCCCCAUGAGAAUUUUGUCCACAUUUUACAGAUGUGGUAAUUGAAUGCCAAAGAUGUUAAGAGACUUGUUCAGAGUCACAUAUACAGUGUGUGGCAAGAACCAUUUGCGGAUAUGCUUCAAGAUUCUAAAGUUCUUACUCUUUUAACUUUCACAUGUUAAUUCACAUUUCUAGUACUGGGUCCUCCUUCCAUUGUUUUUUUAACAUAAGAAAAAGAAAGAAAGCAGCUAAUGAUGAGUCUUAUAUAAUAAAAAAGAAGUUCUGAGUUUUCAUAAGUUCUAGUUCAAGAUCUAAAAAUUAAUAAUUUAGGAAUAAUUAGAUUUAUUUUCUCAACUUAUUAUAAGAAAUAUUUGAACAAAUACAUAUGCAGUAACUAAAAUCAAUAUGCAAAAUGCUUUAUGCAAGUCUACAUAGAGAGGCACAGAGAGAGUAAAAUCUCACCGCUCUGAAAAAUUUGGAGGGGUAGCUAUAUGUUCCCAGGGAGAAAUCAAUCUAGAAAGUCUUCUUUUUCUCCAUCCUAUACAAUAAAAGCCUAUAGAAACCCUUGCAAAGGCAGCAGCAAAGUACUUUCUAUCAUACACAAUGUUAUUUAAUAGCAUUUGAUAAGUUAAAUAUCUUAGAUUAUAAAGGGAAAAUGAUUGAAUUCUGUGUAGACAAAUCAGAAAGCUUAUUCUUAAGGGAACAGAUGUUGAGCACUUUGGGGCAGAAAAUCUGGGAACUUUCUACAGGAGUGUUAUUAACUCAGUACUUAUGUUAGAAUAAGCCAGACCUGCUUGUGCCAGUGUGGCACUUGGAAGCCCAUCAUUCAGUUUGGUCAAUAGAUUAAGCACAUUGAAAGAUUUAAAUCAAGUAGAAUGGGAUCAGAUGUGGCCAUACGGAGGCAAAAUUAAUAGGUAACACUCUAUCCUAUGUAACCAUAAGUUUUUCACACAUAGUAACACUCAAUAAAUUGGAUAUACUUCAUUUUAUAUAUGGGUUCAAAUUAUGUCUAAGUAUUCACUUUGUUACCUGUAUAAUAUUCUCAAUGUAUAAGUUGGUGUCUCCCUAACUGGUAUAACAAAUAGACCCAACAUGUGUAAUGACUCAACCAAAACAGACAAUCUGAUGAUGAACUAGAACAUAAUUACAAACAUUCUGAGGUGGGGGUUCUUGAACAGGCAGCUCUCCCCCAUCUCCCGUUGGAUAGGCAGUGAUUCGGGGACCCUAGCCCCUUGCAUCUUGUGGCUCUGCUUGCUCAUGAGCCUCAUUAUUGUUGUCCAGAAGGAGAGAGUAUAGUUAGGGCACAGCAGCUGCUUAAAAGCCUUGUCCCAGAAACUGGACACAUCUUAUCCUCUUAUAGUCCAAUGACUAGCACCAAUACAUGGUCAUAACAACUGCAGAGGAGGCUGGGAGAUGGCGUACAGUUGUGUACAAGUUGGAAAAGGAGAACACAGCUUUCUCAACUGCAUUGUAUAUUAAAUUAUUACAGGAUCUAUAUCUAACAGGGAAGUACCAAACCAACAAGUGUAGCAACUGCAUCAUUGUAUUGAUAGAGUUACUAUGUUGAUAAACACUUUAAAAUAUGUACUGAAAGUCUUCUAACACUUGUGAUAAUGAGUCAAGCCUCAACAUGAACUCUUAAGACAACGCCUUUGUUUUUUUACUGUCAUUUUUGUUUUCCCCAAUUACUUAUUUUUGGCUAAAUUCUAAAUGGGUGAAUUUGAUGAGGUAAAUUUAUUUGUUUGUUUGUUUAUUAGAUCUUAGAUCCUCAAAGGAGAGCUGUUAAAUGUUUCCAAAAUAAUAGGUUCUGAAGAUAAAAUAACAAAGUCCAUUUAUCAGCUUUGUCAAUUUAUCAUUUUCCUAAAGAUGACAAGAGCACUAAUUAAAAAAAAAAAAAAAGCAACAGUCAAUACGUUAUGAACACUAUCUCCACAGGUAACUAUGAUGACUUUAUAAUGGAUAAGAUAUACAUAUCAACGCUGUUAUCUCCUUAUAGUAUCUUCAUUCUUAGAGUUUGACAUGGGAUAUUUUUAAAUGCAAAAUUGUUUGAUAAUGAAAUUGCUUAAUGCUAAUUCAGCACCACUUGUGGGUUGAAAAUAGUUACAAUAUUACAAUAAAUGUGUGAGUUGUUUAUGUAUACACAUAUAUGGAUAUGUAUACAAAUGGAGAUAGAUAAAUAGAUAAGUUGAUAAAUAUGAAGUAUGAAGUAUGAUAAGUAUGAAGUUGCUAUUUCAUACAUAGAUAGAUAGAUAGAGUGUUCUUUAAAGGUUUUAAAUAGUGAAUAUGGUCCCACUUGGUUUAUCCAAUCAAGUAGUGACCAAGGUGAUUAUAUAUGAAAAAUUAGGAGGUUGAGUUUCUAAAAUCCAGCUAUGUUUACUUUUAGACUCAGUUACUUACUAUAAGCAUGACCUUGAGUGAAUUUUAAUCUCACUAAUCUUAGUUUCUUCACCUGUAAAUAGACCUAAUAACCUCUCCUACAUAGGCAUGUUGAAAUUGUCACCAGAGAUAAUGAAUGCCAAGUGCUUAUACUGUGCAUCGUUUGUGUUCCACAUCCAUUAGUCUCAUCCUCAUUCCUUUUUAGUGAUUCUACAUUUAAAAUAUCACCACCACUGCAAUCAGUACCACCACCUUUGCUCUCACAAGACAUUGCUAAAGAGGACCUUUAAUUCAACUGACAAUCAGAUUUUACUUUUAUCCCCGCAAGUUAAAAUCUUGUUAAACUUUCACAUUAAAAAAACCAUAGCAAGGUAUAAAUAAUACUUCUUGCUCUGACUAAAAAUAAUUCUGACACUUUAUAUUCUUUUUGAAAAUUUCAGUCCAAUGUGGUGUGAAAUUCUGGGCUGAAAAUCUGCAUUUCUGGUGAAAAUACUUAUUUAACUUAGUGGCACAGAUAAUACAGAAGAUGGGAAGAAAUUCUGUUUUAUGACAAAAGUUCCUUUGGAGAAGAAGGAGAUCAGGCAUUCUCCAGUACACAGAUGACUCUAAAAUUUCCCAGGUAGUGAAAUACCAACUCUUUCCCAGGUGAUAGCUGAAUUAGCAUGUUAUAAAAGCAUAUGUAUUCCUAUCAUUUUAACUCAGGAGGAAUAGUUCUGCCCUUUCACAUAAAUGACCCUUUUAUCAAAGAGAAAAUUCUCAACUGAAUAAAUCAUAAGCUUGACCACAAAUAAACUCCUGUGGUUUUGUAAUCUAACCCUUAUUUUGUAAUUUGUAAGGCUAAACAAAAUGGUUUAUAUCCUUGAGGAGAAACAUAAUAAAACUGCUCCUUUCUAAAUAAGUAUAACAUCACAAGGUAAAUAUGUACAUUCACAGGAUGGUAAAGUCACUUUCUUAUUUCUGGCUUAUCCAUUUAACCUUUUAAAGCAGAUUGAACUAAAAGUAUGGUCAGUCUUACAGCAAUGCUCACUGAGUUUUAUGGAUACUUCAGAAUCAUUAUUUAAGUCUUGCUUUAAGCUGUAUGAAGUUGCUAUUUUUGUAGGUCAAAGAUGGUCAAACCUUGAUCCUUCUACAUCUUUUAAAAUGGUAUUUCCAAAAUCAAAAUUGAGUAUAAUGGUGAUGAAAUUGUAAAAUCCAAAUAGUUUAGAUAUAUCAAACUUGAGACACAACCAAUAUAUUUUUUUAAUGGUGUUUCAAUUGUCAAUGAACAUUUAGGCAAAAACAGAUCUUUAAUGUGAAACUGGUAGUAGAAUAUCAGUGCUUUAGGGAAAACUGGCCCUUCUAUACAAAUGGAAUUUGAGCAACUGUUGUAAACAAAUUAAGGGUAAUUUAAAAUAUAUAAAUAUCAUUCAGUGCCAAAACUAUGUCAAUCAAAUAAAUUCUAGUUGAUACUAUAUUCUUUAAGAUAUUUUCUAAAUAAGUGUAUUGUGUAUCUUAUAAUUAAUUUAUUUCAUUAUAAAAACAGUUUGUGGAAUACCCUUAGAUUAAAUUGUUAACCAAGUUUUUUUUUUCAACUUGAAAAAAUAUUUUUUGCAAACACCUGUUCCCCAUCUCUACAUUAAGAACAAUUGGAACAAUCUCAGUAACAUUAUUGGGCAUACUGUGAAUUUCUUAUAUAAGGAUGUGCCACUUUUAUUCAAAUUAAAAUGCUACAUUAAGGUAAGAAAAUGCCUUGAUAUACUGACCAAAAAUGUGAGAAAGACAUAGAAAAUCUUUCUAAGAUUUAUGGGCAAAGAUUGAAGAGAAUGGUGCUUACUGCAGUUCUCAGAUUGGUAGAGAUAGAGAGGGGCAAGUCCCUGUAUGGAGGAGAGAAAACUACAGAAGUAUUCAGAUCAUGGGGUUAUUGGUUAGAUCUGUGUUUAAUUCUUGGCCCUGCCAUUUACUAGCCAUUUGAUGAUUGGCACAUUAUUUAACCUAUAUGUAUCAUCAAGUAUAUCAUCUGAUAAAUAGGGCUGAUAAUAAUACAUAAUUACUUAUCUCAGGGUGGUUAUGGGGAUCAGAAUAGAUAAUGCAUGUGAAUUGUCUUGGACAGUGUCUAGCACCUAGGAAAUACUAAAACAUAUUAGUCCUCAUUAGUAUUAUUUAGGAGAGGGCUUUUAGGGCAAGUGUGACUGAUCUGGAGACAAGGAGAAGUGUGCUUGGAUAAAACAAACUCUAGGUCCUGAUUCCAGGCCUCCUUGUAAUUCACCCACAUCUUAGGAGGAGCUUUUAUUUUCCUGAGUGGGAGUAAGCCCUGAAUAGUCUUUUUCUUCCCACUCUCUCCACCUGUUUUGCUAAUAUCUCACCAACCUGCUGAUCCCUCCUUUAGUUGUCUCUUGCUAUUUAGCAAAGUACCACAAACUUGGCAGCUUAAAAAACACACACUUAUUAUCAGAGUUUCCAUAGGUCAGGAUCCUCGGCACAGCCUAGCUGGGUCCUCAGGUAUUCAUAAGGCUACUUGAGAUAUCUUUUUGCGGUGUCCAUUGGGGCUGCAAUGUCACCUGAGGCUACACUGGCAGAAUUCAGUUCCUUGUGGUUGUAGACUAAGUUCCUAGGUAACUCAUAACAUUGCUGUUUGCUUCUUCAAGAGCAGUAGGAGAAUAUCUUUACUGCUUCCAGUCUUUUUUUUUCAGGGGAAGGGCUGAUCAUCUUAUAAAGGGUAGAUUUGAUUAGGUCAAGCCCACCCAGUAUAAUCAGCCUUUGAUUAACUCAAAUUCAAUGGAUUUGUGGCCUUAAAUACAUCUGCAAAAUCCUUUCACCUUUGCCAUCUAACAAAACCUCACCACAGGAGUGGUAUCCCAUCACAUUCAUAGGUCCUGCCCACAUUUAAGAGUGGAUUAUACUGGGCGUUCAUACCAGGGGGCUGGAAUCUUGGGAACCAUAUUCGACUUUUGCCUAUCCUACCUCUAAACUAUUUUAAAUAAAUAAAAGACCUUUCAUUUUGUGAUUGUGGAUGAGAUUUAAAUGCUAAGGCUCAAGGAAGGUAGCAAUAUAAUAUGAUCAAGAUGCAAUUGAAGUAUAGUCGUCAACACAUUCUGAUCAGAAUCUCCUGUUUGAUGUUACAAACUGCAUGAAGAGGAAAAGGAUCCUGGAAGCAUCUGAAGGAUAUUGUCAGUCUGAAAGGAGAGAAAGAAAAACUUUGCCUCUCAUCCAAAGACAAAUUUUCAGUACUUACUACAAAUGUGUUUUGAGUCUAUCCAGUUUACCUUCCAAUGACUUGGGGCAGAGAGAGUGAGCAUGGUGGGGUCCUGAUUAGGCAGCUAGUGAACAGUCAGAUUUACAUUACAUAAUUAUAAAUAUUUUCUUGUUUUUCAUGAUAUAGUAAUUCUUAUAGUGUAAUUAGUUCAGAUUAAAUGAAGCAUCACUACAUUUAUUUAUGGUUUCUUUUAUUUGUUGAAAUGCCUUAAUCAGUUUUAGUCUUUCACAAGCAUGAAAGUAGCUACACAGUUUUAUAAUGUUCUUGAUGAAAACAGUGUAAGUCAACACCUUUCCUCAAACAAGUACACUUAAGUAACCUUUAAGAAAUGACAAUCAAUUAAAAUAUACACACUACUAUAUAUAAAAUAGAUAACCAACCAAGGACCUACUGUAUAGCACUGGGAACUAUACUCAAUAUCUUGUAAAAACCUAUUGUGAAAGACAAUGUAAAAAAAUAACAUAUAUAUAUAUAUAUAUAUAUAUAUAUAUAUAUAUAACUGAAUCACUUUACUGUAUACCUGAAACUAAAACAACAUUGUAAAUCAACUAUAUCAAUAAAAAUUAAAAAAUAAAAGAAUAAAUGAAAAAAUCUUCCCCUUAAAAAAAGACAAUAUGUAAACUUUGGACCAUGAAUAAGAAUUUUUUAUACUAUUUUAAAAUCUUCAGAUGAUACGAUACACUAUACUGUUAGGUCUGUGGUAUAGCUGUGGGAUAAGGGAGACUUGAGUAAGAAACAGAAUGGGGAUGAAGUAAAUUAUCACUAAGUAGAUUCAAUAAAAAGUCAUACCAGAAAUUGAAUUAAAUCAUACCUAAACUUCUACCUUAGAAAUUUAUUUCAUACUCUAUUAAAAUUUUUCCAUUUUUUUAAUGCAUUAAGUGGACUGACAUACAAGUGAAAAUAAGCAAAGACUUUGCAGCCAGAUCUACAGUGGGAUUCUAGUUCUGCCACUAGCUCACUGGAUAGUAUUAGGCAAGUUACUGACCCGCUCCAAGCUUCCAGUUCUUCACGUGUAAAACAAGAAUAAUUGUAUCCAGUUUGCAGGAUUGAGUUAAUGGUAGAAAAAAGAACACAAAAAAGUACACAACAGAGUGCCCAGCAAUAGAAGAGCUAUGGUUAAGUAUUACAGUUACAAGUCUUUAUACUGCCGUUGACAGGCAAGGUUGUUUUACUUAACAAUAUGCUAGAAAUGGCAUUCCUGGAAACCUUUCAUGAAAUUCUAGGGAAUGCAAUAGAUUCAAAAUAAUUCAGUAAAUCAUAGGAGGAGAAAGUGCAUGUUAAUUAUUCAGUUUUAAAACCAUUUAUAUUAUUAUUAUUCUAUGACACUAUUUAAGUAAACUUCCAGCUUCCCUGGUGGCGCAGUGGUUGAGAGUCCGCCUGCUGAUGCAGGGGACACGGGUUCGUGCCCUGGUCUGGGAAGAUCCCACAUGCCGCGGAGCGGCUGGGCCCGUGAGCCAUGGCCGCUGAUCCUGUGCGUCUGGAGCCUGUGCUCCGCAACGGGAGAGGCCACAACAGUGAGAGGCCCACGUACCGCAAAAAAAAAAAAAAAAAAAAAAGCGUUAAGUAAAUUUUCUAGGAAAACAGAGAGUGUAUCUACUUAAUUAAAUAAUUUAUUCAUACUUCCUAACAUCUUAAAAAAAAAAGAAACUAAAUCAGGGUAAUGGAAAAGAUAAAGAACAGAGAACAUAUAAACUAGUAUUUUUGCUGCUAGUGAAAUUCAUAUCUGGCUCUGACUUUCCUGGUGGCCAGGGCAAAAAAGAAGAAAAUGAUACUUUUUAAGAAGUAAAAACUUUUGCUGGUCUUUAAUUCUGAAAAUAUUUUCUCAUACUAUUCUUUAAAUAUGUUACAGCAUUGCCAAAAGAAUUUUUAUUUUUGUAGUUUCUAUUAAAGGUCCUUAGUAGAAAAUUAAAAUAUAAUAUUAAAUAUGACUCAAGGAAGAUUUGCUUAGCUAAUGAGAUCUAAUAAAAGUAUCCCUGUGGAAUCAACCUUAUUCCUUCAUGUUCUAUCUAUAUAUCUUAAAAUGUAAUAGCAAAUAGCCUAUUCAAAGCAGUCAAAGCAAGUUGGAAUUUUAGCCAAUAUAUGGGAAAACACCUGCAUAAUGCAAAUCAGCAUUGUACAAUUACCAUUCCCAGUUGUUAACUGCUGAGAGCAGAGGUUUCAGUGUACAAAAGAUUGUUCUGGAAUCUCAGAGUUAAGAAAACUCAAUUCAAACCCAGCCAGGCCAAGGUAAGUAUAGGCAAGUCAAUUUACUUACUAGGACAACUAUUCACCAAACCUUAAGUGAAGGAAUUGGACUAGACAAGUGCCAGCUUGUUCUAGAACUAUGCCCACAACAAGGCCUGACACAGAGUAUGCACUCCAUAAAUUAAAGUUAAGAAUGAAUCCUGUUCCUCUAUUACAGCAAUGAUCUGAUUUUACCAGUCUGGUGGCUAACAAGGGUUAAUUGAUGUAAGUACUUGGUAUUUCUCAAUUAAAAGAGGGCAGAUGUUAGCAACAAAAACUACAGGUAUAUCUCAAGGUUUCUCAAACUAGGUGCAAUAAUAUUUUGGACUGGAUACUUCUUUGUUGUGGGAGGUUGUCCUGUUCACUGUAGGAUAUUUAGCAGCAUCCCUGGCUUCUGCGCACUAGGUAUAAGUAGCCCUGUUCCUCAAGUCAUGGCAACUAAACUGUCUGGAGACAUUUAGACCUCAUUUGAGAAAAAUUGGCAUAUAUGAACAGGUGUAUGCAUGUGUGUGUGUGUGUGUGUGUGUGUGUGUGUGUGCAGAUAGAUAGUGUUGUAUGUCAGAUAUUUACUUUUAAUGUACCUUGAAUAUAUGGGAUCAAUCAUUUUCAAUUAUUAAUUUUAUGUACUCCAAUGACAUAAUAAAUAAUUAACACAAUUAGCCCAAUGAUCUCUUCUUAUUUUGAAUAUAGUAUGACUGGAGUCUAAAAGAAUCAAGUGUUUUCCAAAAUUAAAGCUAAUGUACUUCAUUCCAUUGCUUAUGGUUCUUGAUGAAAUCAUGCAAACACAAGCAGUCUGAUGUUAUUUUUUUGUUUACAGUAUUACUGUGUUGUUUUGGUUAACAGAAUGAAAAACAGCACUGUAAUACUACAAGUAAAAAUGUUUUAUUCUUAGUUUGUUUCAUCAAUAAAAGCUGACAUUUUUGCAAGGAAGAUGUUAUACUAUUGAAAUUAACUCUUAGUCAAUUGUAAAUAAUUGUAUUAUAUCAGUAUGUUAUCAUGAAGAUUAGAAAUCAUUUCCUACAGAAUCAUGUUUUUGCUUCCUCAGCACUGUUUCAAUUGAAAGGAAUUUGAAUGAAGUGCAUCUCAUUACUAACAUAAAGUAGAUGGAGCUUGAAUAAUUUUUAUAUUUAUUUUCCAUGGAUGGCUAUUACAUUUCUUAUCCUAUCUAUCCAAAUUUUAUAAAAUAAAUUGUUUUAAUCCAUUCUUUGGAGAGGAGCAAUGAAUUUAUUUUUGCAAAAGCUCUGCAUCUGAAUAUAUUGUAAUAUGCAUAAAGCUUUGUUAACACAGUUAUUUAUAUAAAAAGUGUAGCUGCCUUACCUUUUAUUUAAUUUACAUAUUUUAUUUACUUUCUGACAGGUUCUUCUCCUUGCAUUUUUAUUUACAUACCAAAAAUGUCUUUUCAGAUAAGUCAACUAAAACUUUAAUGUACUGUAUAAUUUAAAACUCCAUAAAAUGUUUUAUGUAUUGUAUAGUUUUGUAUGAAUUUUUAACUUGAUAGUAUAGAAUUUUGGAAAUAUUUCAUCAAUUCCUCUACAACACCACCAUAUUUCUUAAAUAGGAUGGGAAAUAGAGUAUUGUCUUUUGUCUGAGAUCAUGUUUAGAAAGAAUUAUAAAACUUAUGCUAAGUCUGUGUGCUUCAAGUAGGAAAGAAAUCACCAGAUAGUUUAAAGGAGUGUAAUUUUUUCUUAAAAUAUUAUUAUGAAUCUCAUAUAAUAUGGGCAUCUCACAUCCUUAAAGAAUUUGGUUCUUUUGUUCUAAGCUAUACAAAAGGUCAUUAUUUUUACAUUUAAAUGUUGGAAACAAUACAUUUCCCUUAUGUGUUUCAUCAGCUGAAACAGUGAAGUAAUAAUGCCAGUGUGUCAAAUCAAAGUCCAGUUUCAGAAAUAUAAACUUAACCCUCACCCUCCCUUCUUCAUAUUUAUCUUUUGUAAGCGUGGUUUGUGUUUGCAUAACCCACCAUUCAUGUUCUUGUGAGCUCAUGAUAUAAAUAAUUUGAAAAAUUUCAUUCAGUUCCCCAAAUUAUUCUAGUCAUUAUGGAUGAUUCAUGAGAGGAUUAAUCUCUUGGAUGUGACAUAAAACUAGAGAGGAAAGACACUACCUAUCAUAUCAUUUGCAGUUAAGAACAUGCUGCAUAUCUUUAAGCUUUACUUAAAGUGCUUAUAGUAAUUGGGUGUGCAUGCCUUCACUCGGUUAAAACCCAAACAGCAAUAUGGGAGAGUGUGGUUUGUUUUUUAAAUGUGCAAGGAAGGAAAAUUAGUGAAAUGUUUAAGUCACAAAACUGCCUCAUUCAGGACCCAAUUCAGCAGCAUGGAAAAAGUAACUCAAGUUAACUGUACUCUUAGCAUAUGUCUAAGCUCAGAAAUUUCAAUUCACUUCAGGUUCCUUUCUUUUCCCAAGGAUCUGCUGGCAAAGAAAAGAGAUCCAAAGAUGGUAAACAGGUUCAAUAGUUCAGUAGCUCUAAGCUCUCUCAAGGUUUUCAGAAUAAAAAUAUGUCCAGUUAAAGAACAAGUUCCUCGUAUUUUGGAACGGGGAUACCCAUACAAAUUGUUUUCUAUUUUAUUAUGGGCCUUUCCUCUUUUCCUGCUCCCUACCCUCUACUGCUACCACCAGCACACACAAAUACACACAUGCAUAUGGAGUUAAAGGUAUAAUGUAUUUUGAUUUUAUCCAUGCAAGGAAAAUUUGGGGGAAGGAGUGAAACUAAGCUAACGAAGAAUAGAUUUAGGUAUUAUACAGAGAUUGUGGUUUAGUGACCUAAAUUGCACCAUAAUCUUUUAAAGGAUUACAGUAUUUAGGGAGAAAAAAUGAUCUCUCUUUCUAUAAUGGCAUCUCUGUGUAAGAGGAUAUUAUAGGAUAUGAGCUGUGUGGUAGCAGCAGAUAUUUUCUCUAUAUCUUUCAGCAAUUCAAAGUAGUUCUCAGAUACAUCUGAGAAGUAGCACUGAAGAAUUAGUCUUCAUUUAUAAUCAAACAUUCUUGAAUAACAUUUUCUUCCAAUUUUUGUUUUAAAGGUCUAACAUUUGAUCGUAUGUUUUCUUUAGUUAACUUUCUAUAUUAUAUGGCAAUCUCUGCAGUUAUUUUUUUCAAAGAUAAAAAAGAAAAAAAGCAUGCUCAAAAUGUAGAAGUUAUUUUUGCAGUAACGUAUGUCAUGAUUUUUAAACAUUCAAGCCUUUAAACUUUUUUUAUAGUGUAUGUUCUUGCCAAUCCCAGCACAGUUCUACAAAGUAAAAUAUUUGGCAGUGAAUUCAUAUUAACAGAUGGAACAAGAAAUUAACACGUUUUUGCUUCGCUAAUUCACAGUUCUUUUAAUACGCUAAUUCUAAAUCACCUGUUCUGACUUUGACAGGCUACAGACACCUGUUUGGGGUAAUAUUCCACAGCUAAUUAUUACAUGAGAAAUUCAGUUUCCAACAAAAGGGUUUCUGUGUGAAAUUGUCAUAGUUAAAAAAUUAGUAAUACCCAAUAUAUACAAAUAUAUUUCUGAUGUCUUAAAUGCAGUUAAUCUACUACUUAUCUUUAACUAAAGGAUGGUGUAUGAAAACUAGAGACUGUCCUCUUAGUGUUUGAAUUCUGUCUAUCACACUUUACACCAUGGUUGCACUGAUCAAGUCAGGAUGUUCUUCCUAGUAGCAGUGAUUUACUGUAAUACUGUAUUUUAAAUGGCAGGAAAAGAGUAUAGAAUUUUCAAGUGGCUGGAAAAAUUCCUAACUGUAUGUUAAAAAUGACUCAGGAGAGUUAAAAAAAUACUGACAAAUGAAAGAGAAAAAAAGAAAAACUUAGCCUGGGUGGUAUAGUGUAUGGAAGACAGACAAUAAAUAAAUAGGAAGUUCACUGAAUUACAGUUUGAAGAAUGACUGACUCACAUGAAGCACCCAGAGGACCAUUGACUGUUUGUCAAAGAAAAGCAAGGUAACGAUGCCAGGAAUUUUAUGGAUAUAAAGUCAAGUGCCUCCCACCUCUUGUAUCUCAACCUCUUAAUGGACAAACUACUUCUAUUUUCCACUAAACCUUGAUUUUCUUUAUUUCUCAUACUGUUCUUCAUUAUUCCAACAGGGUCAUUUCCCUUCUCUCACCUCAGAUGAUAUCCUUUCACAGUAACUCUUUUCAUUUCAAUUUCCUACAAAACCCUGCUACAGGGGAAUGUGGAGGCAAAGAAUGUGUAUGUGUGGCAGGGUAGGUUGGUGGAACAAGAAGCAAAAAUCGGAAACGUAAGGUUUUUUCGAUGUUUGUAACAUAACGACAGAUGCUGAGGUAGUCUGUCUUUAGGUUUGCCAAAGGUUCCAUUUUGUGUGUCUGUUUUUUGAUUCUCUCUAAUUGCUGUUCAGCUUUGUAUAUGGCUUUGCUAAUGUGUCUUCCUUAGCCACAUUUGGGAAAUGGAGAACUUGUUUCUUUAAUUAACCUUUAUAUCCUAGUGCCGUGAGAGCAGAGUUCACCAAGCAGGCGCUCUUGGAACUUUUAAGAUUCAUGUGGUUAUACUCUGAUUUUGAAAAGGUAUUGUAUAAAGCAUAUUUUUUAAAUGCAAUUUUAUUUUGCAAGACUCCAGGUGGAUGAGGAGAGAGCUCGCUUUUUACAUUUAGCCUCCUUAUAAUUUUGUUGUUUUUCUCCCAAUUGCUACUCUAGAAAGCACAUGGUCUUUCUCUAAAAUCAUGCUUUAUGACAUUGCUAUUUGCAGAAAUUUAACUGGCAGCCCACCCCAGGAAGAUAAAAUCCUGUUUCAUCCAAGUUUGGUUCCCCUCCUACACCCACACCUGAAACCGUAUUUCUGCCAGAGCCUACAUUCUGCUAAGGAGGAAACCAAUCUUUUAUAAUACUUUAACAUACGUGAAUUUUAUUUUAUUUUUAAUUAACAAAUUACCUCAUCCAAAAAAUGCUAGAUGACAUUUUAAGCUAGAAAAGAGUUUCCAAAUAACUCACCUUUACAAUUAACUCUUAUCAGAACUAGACAGUUAUUUCACUGCACAGAGCAUAAGCAAAUGGCUGUGACGUACCUUUGAAGUGGAAAGGCCUCCAUCACUACUCAAGCUCUUGGCAAAGUUCAGAAGCACAUUAUCCUACAGGGAGUUGGUCAGGUCUCAAAGUUUGGAAGAGACUUACUGGUACAGAAUUGGAAUAAAAUCAGUUUUUUUUUCAGCUAAUAAGAUGCCUCAAGAAUAAACCAAACUUCCUGGUCUUUAAGAGAGGGGAAAAAAGAUUCUCAGAAGCUUCUCUAUAAAUCUCUUAAAUUUCCCUGAAGAUAGUUACAGAAAUACAUUGCUACCUCUAAAACAACUUGAAUGAAUUAGAUCUAGAUUUUAAUGCAAAAUAUUCAACAUUGGGGCUUCCCUGGUGGCACAGUGGUUGAGAGUCCGCCUGCCGAUGCAGGGGACACGGGUUCGUGCCCCGGUCCGGGAAGAUCCCACAUGCUGCGGAGCAGCUGGGCCCGUGAGCCAUGGCUGCUGAGCCUGCGCGUCCGGAGCCUGUGCUCCGCAACAGGAGAGGCCACAACAGUGAGAGGCCCGCGUACCGCAAAAAAAAAAAAAAAUUCAACAUUUAACAUUUAAAGGAUAAUGACCUUGAAAAAUGUGUUUGAGAUUUAGAUUCAAUGUGAAAUUCUUAAGAAAAUUGUUCAAGGUGAUGAAUGACAUUGCAAUGCAGUUCCAUUCAUCUGUCCUUAGUUAAAACACUUUGACAAGUCAAUUAAUAUGAAAAACUGAUAUCUCUGAUAUGUCCUACUUUAACAUACACGUGCAAUGGGUAAAAUAACUGUGUCAUUUUGCCAUGGACUAAUACAUAUGUAUAUAAUUUUAUUUGUAUGCAUGUAUAUAUGUGUAUACACACACAUACACACAUGUACAUACACCUACAUUUUAGGGAGCUUGUUUAAUCCUUCAGAGAGGAUUGCAGAUUAGAACAGAUUAAAGAGUUAUUGCAGCAACAAUUAUAUUUCACUUAAUCACUUUUCUAAGCAAGUAAAUGUUCAACAUAUCAGAUACUUAAAGGGAAAACUUUAAGUAACUAACAGAUGCCAUUAAUUUAUAGUCACCAUUUAUGUCCUUAUACAUAUUUUAAAUAGUUGCUUAUAUAUAUAUAUACACACACACACACACACACACACACAUAUCUCAAGGUAUUAUAUUUACUAUCUUAUUUAUAGAAUAUAUUUUAGAAAGAGGUAAACUUCAUUUAAAAUUUAAUUAUAUUAAUGUAAUUCAUCCUAAGUCAUUCUAUUAUAUCAUCUAUCUUAGAAGCAUGAUAUUAUUAUUAUAACAAUAGCUUGUCAUUUACUGAGCAGCUAAUGAGCACCAAAUACUCUCCAUAAAUUAUUGCUAAUCCUAGGCUUAUUGUUCCAUUUCACAGAAUAGGUAGCUGGAAUCUAAAGAGGUUAAUAACUUCUCCUCUAGUCUCAGAGCAGUGGCCAAAAUAAAAUCCCAGCCUGGAACUCUGUAAUUGCAAACCCAUUUUUUUCCUCACCACUUGAUACUGGUGAUCAACAUUUGAGUAGCUAGAUAUGUAGAGUUCAGGUUUAGCAGCAACUGUCAUCAAAAACCAAAAAGGUACACACACUGUGAUAGAGUCAAAUGAACUGUCUAAAUAAGAACUUAAAACUAAUCUGCAUAAAAUACCCAAAUGAGCAAAUCACUUUGCCUUAGGAAUCUGCAGGGAUGUUUAUUUAUUCCUGGAAAUAUUGAAGUCUACCAGAUCAUGAUGUCAACUAUCUUAUAUUUUAAAAAUUCAGUUUCCAUGCUGUUUACAAACUAUUCACUGACAUUGCCUGUGCCUUCAAGGAGUAUACAAUUUAGUAAAUUACAAAGUUCAUAACUUGAUUCUUUUAGCUUUACCAUGCUGCUUUAUAUCUCUGUAAAAUAAUAUAUUUUUAUCAGCAAAUUUUCUUUAGAUAUGUUGUCACUUUAAAGGGUUUUCUUUUAAUUUUUAUUCUAAAAUAUAUUUGGCAAAUAUAUUAUACUGGCCUGUUUAAUUAUGACCCAUGAAUAGAUCGUAAUAUUCCUGUGUCAAAGACCACAUAAGUCUUAUUUUCUAGCCUUUAUCACAGUCAUAGGUAUUAUAGUGAAAGUUUAAUAACUCAGUGUUAAAUGAUUAAAUGGAUGGAUGGAUGGAAAAUGUAUUCAUGUAAAUUCUGGCAGAUAAUUGUAUGGCAGUGAAAGUGAGGAGAAAAAGAAUACACACAUAGAAACACACAUAGUUGUAAUCCAGAUGAGAAAAACUGAAGAGCUGAAUGACUUCAUUUAGCAAACCUUUAUUGAAUAUCAGGCACUGAGUUAAACAUGAAGAUAUGAUGUUGAUGGAAAUUAAUAGUAGCUAGCCACAUGGAGUUUACUUGCCAAUGGGAAAGGUACAAAAAUACUUAAAUAAGUGAACAUAGUCAAUAAGAUAAUUGCUUAAUCUGAUUAUUGCUGUAAAGGUAAAAUGUGCAUGAUGACACAAACUCACUCAGGGGAUUUCUUUAGAAAACAGAGACAGGGAAAACUCAGAGGAAGACUUUUGAGUUGGGAUUAAGCAAUGUGAAAGAGGAGGAAAAGAGCAGUCUCCUGAGAGUAGGUGGAAAAUUCCUGAUUGUUAACAAUGAGGACCAAGAGAAGGGAGUCAUGCGUCCUUUAACAGAGUCAGUAGCUGCUCAUUAUGACACACUCUUUGUCUUCCUUACUUAAAUAUACAUGUGGCUCCGAAACACAGCUAAACAUAAGAAUUUCUGGGGUAAUUUUUUAAAAUCUAGAUACCAGGACACUUACUGUAUUGUCAAGUGGUAGGACACACUUUCUGUAUAUUAUAAAAGCUUCCCAGGUGCUUCUGUACAGGAUAGAAAACAACAGCAGCAACACUACGCUCAUCUUGUGGUUUCUACUAACUACAAACCACAGUUACAGAAUAAUACUAACAAACAUUAUAGAAAUAAACACCAAAAAGGACCACUGAAAUCUAUUCUGUUAAAUACUUGUAACCCAGAAAAUGACCACAGUCAUGUUAUACAUACCUGCAUCACCUUAAUCCCCUAAGAAAUAAAUAUAUAUUAAACAUUUAUUUGUAUGUAUCAAGUAAUUUUCAACUCAAAUUGACCCAAAUAGGGUAUGAUUUAAUGAAAAUUCUAACCAUUAGCCUUUCUUCCUAAUUUAGUUAGUAAAUCAAUUAACCAAUAAAUCCAUUCAACAAUCAUCUAAUAAAUGUGGUCCUCAAACAGGCAGCAUUGGGGUGUUCCAGAACUUGUUACAAACGCAGAAUUCCAGGCCACCCCAGACCUAAUCAAUCAGAGUCUAUAUUCUGACAAGUUUCUCAGGUGAUUUGAAUGCACAAUAAAAUUUGGGAGCUUCUUGAACACUAGUUGUAUGCCCAAUCCCAAAAUAUGUGCUAAAGUACACAGAGGCAAUACAAGUUUACCAGGAGUUAACUUUUUCCAGCAGAAUCUAACUAGUUGAAACUGGGAAGAAAAUACCAGUUUUUGGCAACGUUGAUUUGAAUAUGCAUUUGAGUAAAAUUCCUAAGUAAGUUACUGACCCUGAUCCAUGACAUGAGAUUCUCUGAUCAGUUCUGUUUCUAAAUAUGUAAACUCGCUGUACGUGUAAUACAAUCAGUCCAUCAACCUUCAAUAUACAGUCCAAAUUCCACCAUUAUUUUCAGUCUAGAUUAUAGUAAAUCACUUCCCAAUUGUGUCCCUGCUUCCUAUAUUCCUAUUAUAGUGUAUUUUCCAAUAAGUUGUUAAACUCGGUGACUUUUUAAAGACCUUGGGUUUAUUGUUCUCCUCCCAAAUUGAUCUUACAUAAUUACAGCGUAUGUACUUCCCGUGUCUGCUCAUAUGGUAACACCGCAAAUAAAAUUUUCCUGAACACUUCAGUUAAACUAGACUCCUCAUCUCUCUCUUUCUCUCAGUCUCUCUCUGUCUCUGUCUCUGGCUUUGUCUCUCUCUCUCUCUCCCCCACCCCUGACUCUAUCUUACAUUUUUCUUUAUUGUCCUUAUAACUCUCUGUAAGCACAUUAUAUCAUAUUAUCAUAUCAUAUUAUCAACUAGUGUCUUCACACCAAAGUACAAGAUCCAGAAGGCAGGGACUUUGUCUUUCUCUUCCACCAGUGCCUGGAAGAGUACCAUAUAAAUAACAGAGGCUGAAGAAAUAAUUCUUGAGUGAAUGUUGAAUGAAAUUAGCAUUCGAGGAUGUCCACAGUGUGUGAGGCUAUAUAAUUAUCAGAAAUACUUAUUGAGCACCUAAUAUUUGUCACUGUGGUAGACUCUAGAGAAUAGCAUGCAAAAAUAUAUGCCUUCUGAAGACAUAAUGCAAUUGAGUAAUAAAUGAAUGAAAAUAGGGAGGCCUGUAGUACACAAAAUAAGUGUUUCAUGGGUUAAAAGGUGAGUUCAGUGGUGGAAUGUGGAAGAAAGAAGACCAUUUUGAUAAGCAGGUAAUAUGGUGAUGGCAUUUUCAGAAGCAUAAAUGGCGAGCUUUAGAGUUAAGAUAUGUAUGGAACAUUAUUCAUGAAACUGUGAAAGUACCUGUGGAACCCACAGUUAGUUACAAAGAUAACCAGUGACCAGCUAAUGGUGGCUUUAUCUCUGAAAGUAAGGAAUUUGUACUUUAUUCUAUAGACAGGUUUUUUGAGAAAAUAGUCAUGUGUUCAGAAUGAUGGUUUGGGAAUAUUCAUGCAAAGGCAGUGUGCAGGAUGAACUGGAUUGGGAAGAGGCUGCACAGAGAUACGGUUGGCUAAGAGAUUCCCAAUUGUACAUGGAAAGUAGCCUAGGUUAAGAGGUGACAUUGGUAAUACAAUGUAUUAAAUGAGCUAAUAAUACAUAAAUGUUAGAAGAGCACAUAGCAAGGAAAAAUACUAUAUGAGCAAUUGCUAUCAUCUUGUUCAUCACUAUUAUGGCACAUAAAAACACCAAAGAACUUUCGCACAAUAGGAGCUAUGAGGGUACUAAUAUAAGCUGUGUAGAAAAAAGUUCUUCCAGAGACAAGGAUAUUAUCAUUUUCUAGUGAUUUAAGACUCAAAUCAUUGGGCUACAUUUUAGUGCAGCAGUUCUUACCAUUACAAAUCUUAAAAAAGGAAUUUAUUCUCAUCUUCUCAGAAAAAAACCAUAGCCUUGCUUCUUUCAAAUAGUCAACACAAGAGACAAGAGUUUUUCCUCGAUUCCAAAGUGCCUUUUAUUUGUUUGCCAAAUGGGAAACCCCUCAUACACACAAAUCUUUUGUAUUUCAUUGUUUCCACUUUCUAAACAACAGUUUUCUUAACCAAAAAUGAGAAUAUUAAAAUUGACCUGAAAGAUUGUGAUGAGGGUGUAAAUGACAAAGUAUAAGUUAAGACUCAGUCUUCAUGCCGGAGUGGGACCUUAAUAUAAAUAUCUGUUGUCCUUUCUUUCCCACCAGAAUCAAGUAGAGUGCCUUGACAAUGUUAAGGCUCAAUAAUUGCUUAUCAAAUCAGUGAGUGUUGCUUAAUUUGCACUUACUAAGCACUUCACUUUUAAAUCAUUGACCGAUACACUUUCAGAUGUUCAUGUUCAGAAAACCUGCAUGGAAAUAUCUUUUAGUGUUGAAGCUGUAAACUUGACUUUUCUCUCAGUCUCUUCUAAUCCACAACUUUCUCUUUCUUUAUAUGUGUAUGGUUACCUGUUCUCCCCACAGUAUGUAUCCUAAUACUGUAUCUCAUAUCCUGGCCCAAUAUUUGUUUAUUUGCCAUGAUAUAUUUUUGAUACUUUUAGAUUGAUUUCUCUUAUUUCCAUUUUUGUCCCUUUCACUCCCUUCUUGUGUUUCCCAGUGUAUUUUUUUAAUCAGGUCCUAUUUUGUUUUAAAAUUAUAUUUUAAAAAUAUAUUUAUAAAAAUAUAAAUUCCUGUCCCCCUAUUCUGUGUAUCCUAAACCAUUACUCUCUUCUAUAUAUACUUCUUUCCUCCCUCUUUUAUGAAACUUUUUCCCAGUCUGGAAACUUAUUUCCAUCUCUUUGCACAUUUUGUCUGUUGCCCAAGGUAUUGUAUUCCUAAUUGGAUUAGAAAACUCAUCCUUAUAGGACCUUUUAUGUGUUCUGUGCACUCACGGUUUUCUGUAAACAAAAAUAAUAAAUAACAGGUGGGUAGCUAAAUAUAUAACCCACUGGGAAUCAAGUAUUUCAAAGAGGAAGGAAAAGGCUAUGUCAGAAACACUUUACAUAGGUUAUACUGAGUUCAGUAGAAAAGUAAAUGGUGUUCAGCUGUCACUUUUAAUAGACUAAAUCCUGCUAUUGAUUAGCCAAUAAAAAGUAAACAUUUUAAACUUAUCUCAAUUUUUUUUCAGAAAUGUAUUGUAAUAAAUGUUAUUAUAAAUGUGUGUUUUUAUAGCACCAAACAUGAAAUCUCUCUUCUGUCUCAUCUUUACCCCUUCUUAGUAGAUAGAGAGACAGAUGGACCCAGUGAAGGAUAAUUAAAACUGUGUGGGCAAUAACCAAAACUUAGAUGUUUCUAAUAUAAAAUACAAAACCUGGUUAGGAUUCUUUAACUUUAGCAAUUCCCUCUUCCCAUAUACUACCUCCUACCAGAAAAAAGGAGGGGCCAGGAUGCUGGUGGACUGGAGCUGGCUGCAGAGCUGACCAUGUACAGCUCUUCCCAACUCUGCAUUCUGAGAUACCACUUUGUUAGCUUGAAAUGGGCAGUGGGAGUAUUCCCACUAGGAAAAUCAGUGAAUGCUACAAAUAAAGACUUUUCCCCAGAGCCUUCGAUAUACAUUUUUUUUUGACCCCGCCACUCCACUUGUGGGAUCUUAGUUCCCCGACCAGAGAUUGAACCCAUGCCCUCAGCAGUGAAAGCGCGGAGUCCUAACCACUGGAACGCCAGGGAAUCCCCUAUGAUAAACAUAUACUAGCACAGCACUGGGGAAGGGUCUGAAAAUCUGUGGCAAAGAUAUGCUGGAAGUCACUUGACUUCCAGCAUAGUAGGUAAUCCCUGAGAGGGAGCAAUAGGAAGUAAGGAAGACCGUAGAAUCUGACUGGGCUGAGCAGAAGCAGGGGAUUCAGAGAUGAAUCAACAAGAUGCUAUUCUGGGAGAAAAUAUCAGAGCAAAGAGUUAAAGGGGAGACUAGGCAAGGAAAACUGGGGACUAUCUCUGAGCAAAAAAAAAAGAGUUGUGCAUACUUUGUAUUGGACAGUUGCAGUCUUUUGGGGGGAUGGGGCGUUGGGCACUAAAGUGAAUGGAAUGAGACUUUAAACAGAAAGGGAUUUCUAGAGUCAUAAUACAACAGAGGAAGCAAACUCCUGACAAGUAACAGAUUUACCUGGUGAGAGGAGCUUGCUGUAUGUGGGUGCAGCACCAGCUCCCAUAUAAGACCUUUGCACGGGGCUCAAUAGCCUCCACUCCCUGUAGGAGGAAACCACAGCCAGAAACUUGGAUGACAAUGGAUAGCCUGGGUUGCUGGAUGCCUCGCUUGGCUCUGGGGGGCCCAUUACCAUUUUCCUGGAGAAGGACAAAGUCUCAGAAGGAAGAUCUUGUGUACUUAGAUAAGAGGGAAAAAAGCUUCGAAGCAUCCAAACCAGGAUGCUCAGGUUUAUGCAAAAUGUAUAAACGCAUGUUUAGUUUAAGUGCCUCAGUCCAACAUUAAUUCAUGGGAAGUAUAGAUAGGGCCCUUUAGGUUGCAAGUGACAAAAACUCAACUCAAACUUGUGUAAGCAAAGAAGGAAUGGACUGCUUUGUCCCUCUCCUCUUUUGUUGUCUGGGGUUUUUAUUUCUAAACAGGUUUUCUCUUAUAGAGGGUUCACACUGAUGUGCACCUCAGCACACAGGCAAUUAGCGUAGGAGAGAUUGCCUGUUUCCCCUAACUUCUGGCAUAAAAGUCCUGAGAAGACUUCUCAGUGGCCUGGCUGUGUCAUGAUGUGCCUUUCCCUGAACCACUAACUAUAGGCAGAGAAAUGAAAUUUUCUGCUGACCUGGGCUCGGUGCCCAUAUAUGGAAAAGGGCUCGGAUCCCAUGGGCUGAGAGGGGGAAGGGUAUUUUCCCCAAAGGAAGAGGUGUAGAUUGGAUAUAGAGAGACAUGCACUAUGGUUGUCUUCUUAUUAGGGUUACAGUGAACUUACCGGUAUCUUCUAAAAGUAGGUAGAAGCUUAAUCACUCUAUUUAGGACAUUGUUUCUUUUCUAGCUAAGAUUUAUAUGCUCAUUUUCAAUUGCCCUAAACUCUACACCUUCUAAAAUUUCGUUCUCCUGCAUGUGUGCACUGCAGUUUAUUUCUACCGUGUUAUUGGUCUAAUCCCAAAAGGCUACUCAACCCUCUGUUCCAUGCCCCCCCUCCUUUUGGCUUCCAGAUCUGUACCAGGGUUGGGCUCUCUCUGAUGGUUGGUCUCCUAUGCAAUUUUUUUUUUUCUGUCAGACUGAGUGAGGCACUUAGGAGAGGCUAUGUUGCUUCAGCCAAGAAAAUCCAUUGUUCAAGUGACAAGGGACUGCUUUAUUAGCAGAGAGAAGCUAAUAAAUUAACUACCUAAGGUAUUAUUUUUAUUCAUAAAUUUGAAAAUUUGAUCAAUCAAAGAUGAGGUUAUGUGCUCUGUAACUCUGCAUAGCCCACUUUUGUAACUUGUAAAAUGAAUAGUGCAGAAUUGAUGGAAUAGUGAUUAUUUAAUCUAAAAAUGCAGUUAUGAACUUCCUACUAAAUACAACACAAUAAUACAAUAAUAUGAUAGUAAUAUUAUUACUAUUAUUGAAUAAUAGUAAAUAGUCACAAAAGUAAAUAUUUUCAUUUAGAAUUUUGAAGAUCAAAAACGUUUUGCAACUUUCCCAUUUUAAACUUAAAGUUACCUAAUGGGAAAAACGGAAGGUCAGUAUUACUAUGGACAGAAUAACCCAAGGCCUAAACUAAUUAUUGCUGUCACUGAAUUUUUUGUUUACUUUCUGUCUGUGCUUCCCAAUGCUUGUAUGUGGUACUGGAAUAGAGGAGAAGGAGGAAUUCAUUUGUGAAAUGUUUGUUCUGAUAACUGGAAGAAUGGCUAAGGAGAAGGUUUUAUGUCAUUAUAAGUAAACAACAUAUUUCCAUUUGCAAUUAUAUGAAUUUAAUUCCUUAUCUUUUAAUGUUUAUACCUGUAGUUAUUAGUCAACUUAAUCUCUCUUAGACUAAUGGAAAUCAGUUGACUUUGGAAAUAAUAUUUGCUGCCAUAAGAGUAAAGGAUGGUACCCACCUGCUCUUCCCCUGACUGUGCCUCCUAGUUUGCCUGGGACUCUCCUGGUUGAUGCUUGUUUUUUCAGUAUAUUUUUAAUUGUGCCUCCUUGCAUGCUAUAAAAGUAUUUUAGUUCAAAGAAUGUAGAUAGGCUAAGUUUAUGUUACACAUGAGAAUUAUUUUUGCUUUGAAAUGACAGGCUGUUCACCAGAAACAUUGGAAUUGGUUAAUGAAGGGGUCAUAAAAACAGCUUUCUUCAGAAAUCUUUAACAUUGAUGAAGUUAGAUAUGUGCAUCACCCUGAGACAGCUAAGGAAGAGUCUAUGAAUGUAGGAAUUGACUAGUGUUUGAUGAUGGCUCUUGCUCAGCAUGCAAACCUGCAAACAUCUUAGAAAGGAAUGAAAUGUCCAUGAGUGUGAGAAAAUCUAUAUUAAGAUUGGAAAUCAGUCUUACCUCAGAAAUGAGUCACUGUUUUCAUUCUGUUUUAUUAUAAAUUUUAUAGUUUAAAAAAUUCAGGAUCGGCAGAUGAUGGAUCAUAGAUCAAUAAAUUUCAAGUCUUAGGAUUUCCUUAAAAGGUUUUAUAAUUUCCUUUGGAAAGACUGUAUGAAGAGAUAUAAGCAUGGAGGAGAGGCCAAGGCCAUGUGCUAUGUCAUCACAUGCACCUGGGUUUCAAAUCUCAGCUCUACCGCUUAUUAGUUUGGUCUGUGGUUCUUUGCUUUUAAAUUGCAUUAUUAACACCAUGUAUGCAAAAACACACCCACACAUAAAAUUACAGGGAGAACACAGAUUAGCAUUUGAUCACUGCUUUCCUUAGUUAUAACAUCUACUAACGCUAAUAUUUGUCUGUCUUGUAUUUUGUUUUCCUAGCAUAUUUUUUUCUUUCUUUGAAUUAUAACACAACCUGCAUGGACUGGAAAAAUAGUCUGUGGCUUUCUUUCAGUGUUUACAUACUUAAUUCCGGAGGUGAAUUACCUGCUAAAAUGAUUUAUGUUUGUCCUUGAUGGACUGCCACCAAUGUAGAAAGUCUGAGGUACUCUUCAUGGCAGAAAUACUACUUUGUAACCUAAUACUUAUUUGUUUUGCUUUUUAAUGAGGAAAUGCAGGGAGAGUAAAACUGUUAGUUCAGGUUUAAACAUUCACUUGUGCUUUCUCUUCUGUACUGUACAAGCUUAGCUGAGAAAAAUCUAUACAUUUUGGUUUCGAAACGAUAAUCUUACAUUCAGUAUGUAUGCUGGUCCAUUGUGUAAAAAUGAAUUUUUAAGCAAUUUAGCAUUUCAUCAAAGUAACAGGGCACUUGAUUUUCAUUCAUCCAUAUGAAAACAAUUAGAAAAAAAUGCCACUUAUCUUAAAUAGUAUUUGUCAGAUUUUCUUCAUCAAACUUGGUAAAUACAGAUCUCUUGACAUUUUGAUGAAUUUUCAUCACUCUGUGGUAAACCUAAGUGACUAGGCUGUGGCCCGUGAACAGCUUUUGUUUCUAUGUGACAUUAAAAUGUAUUUUUUUUAAAAACAUGAUUAUAAUGAAUAUUCAAAAUUAGAUUCAUUCUCCAGCAUGUGCACAAUAGGUUAGAAGUCGUGGCUGAAGAACACUUACUAGUCAAUCUCAAGGCUUUAUUAUUUCUUAUGAAUCUCAUCUUUUCACAUUGUUCAGAGAUAUGACUAUCAAAGAGGAAAGCCAGCUAAAUAUAUACCAGUUUCAGUUUACCUAGACAACUUUGAAAAUUCAUUUCACAUGUAGUUAAGUGAAAAGUUGGUGUAUCUCCCUAGCUGUAUAUUGUCUCGACUCAAAAUUUCUUGGACCGUAUGUUCAAGACAGCUUGAAACAGACAUUAUAAAUGAGGAAUAAUCAGUUACCAUAGUUCAGAGCAUUUUCUUCAAAUACUCUUCAAUUUCUGGUUCCAGCAGAAUUUUAUUUACUCAAAUAUAAAUCUUUUUUUUUUAAUACUCUAGAGCCUCAUCCUCAACAAAACACCUCAUUUUAGUACAAUUGUUUUUAUAUCCUGUCACAGGGUGAUGAUGAUAAAUGGAAAAUGAUUAAGUAUAUUGUUUGUCAGAUUUCUUCUUUCACAAUUCAAUAAAUAUUCCCAGAGUCCUCCCAUGUCACCUUACUUACAUGAUUAUGAAGUAGAAGAUAUGUUUGAAAUCCAAGGUUGAAAUCUAGUUUUUUAUUUUGGUUGUUCUUCUUUACCAAAAAUAUAAAGUAUGAAUUAAAACUUUGGAUGCUUACAAGCCAAAUUAAUCACUUAGAGACAUUAAAUCCUUUAUUUGGAGACCUUGAGCUGUGUAUACUUACAUAAGAAAAAAUCACUUUGAGUUUCUAAUUCAGUGGGAGGCAUAGCUGUAAUACAGUGCUUUCUUUCAUUUUAGACACACUUUUAAUAUUUAAGUCACUGGUUUCCAAAUACAGUGCACUUAUUCAAUAAAAUUUAUUACAUCUACUAUUACUUAAACAUCAAAAACAAUCACUAAUAAGAAUUGUGACAAAUGAAAAAGAAAACAAAAGCAAAUUCCUUUCCUAAAUAUCAUCCAUACUGACCUUCAUGUUCCUGAAAUUUCCACCUUUUUUUUUUUUUUUACUUUCAUGGUAUUAAAUUAUAAAAGUUCUCAGUCAAAAGGCUAAUUUUAUUAUUUAUUUGUCUGUUUAUUUCUAACUUCCUUGUUUCAGAAUGGUCUUGAAGUUGCUUAUACAUUUAUUAUAUCAAAUACAGUAAGGCAAUAAAUCAGAGAUAUUUAACUAAUGAGAAAACAUCACUGGGGAACUUAUGACAUGAGUGGCCUACAUUAUUUUGGCACUUUACAAUUUUUAAAGUCCUUUUCUCUUUUAAUAUUUUUUGUUUCUAUAUUCUUUCUGUGAUCCUAUGAGUAAGCAAUCCAGAUAUUUGCUUUUCUCUUCUCUAACACCUAUGAAGUAAGCAUUUUUACUUCCAUUUUUAUAAGUGAGGGAAAUGGAAGUUCAGAGAGUUCAAAUACCUUACCCAAAGCCACACAGCUAUGCAUUGACAGACUAGAAUUCAAACUCUUAUCUGCCUGGCUUUACACUACACUGUUAAGAAAGAAUGUUAAACAGCUGUAUAAACUGAACCUCUCUUCUCUGUCUGUUCACCCAGACCUUUCUUAUCUUUUAGAAUCCAGCCUAAAUCUCUUCUUUAGUGGGGCUUUCUCCAACAGUUAGAGCUCAUUUCAAAUAAGCUCUAAUCAAUUUCCUGAGUUAUUGUCCAUGCCAUUCAUUUUGACUUUUAAUCAUAGAUUAUUUUCCAAUAUUAUUCAUGAGUGUAUGCAUUCCUGACUUAUCUCCCCUAUAGUAUUUAAAUGAAAGCAACUUAUCAAUGUGUUUUGUACAAUUAUUUGCUCUAAGUUUGUCCAUGAUUGCUGAAUAAUACAAACUUGUCCUCACCAAUGUUUAAGCAGUAGCUUUACCAUGCUCAGUAAGGUAUGAUAGGCAGAUUCAAAGAGGGCCCCAUGAUCUUUGCCACUGAUAUUACACCCAUGAUAGGUUACAUUAUAGGGCAAAGAUGAUGAUGUCACUACCUCGAUUUGGUUAUGUUUUAUGGUAAUGGUGAACAGAUUGUGCAGAUAUAAUUAAGGUCUUGAAGCAGUUGACUUUAAAUUAAUCAAAAGGAGAUUAUCCUGGGUGGACCUCAUUUAAUGAGGUGAGCCCUCUAAAAGAGGUUUUACAUGUUAGUGAUAAUCUCCAACUAGCCUUGCAGAAGCACACAGCCAUGCGGUGAAUUGUGUAUGGAGAGGAGCCGUCUCUAGGAGCUAGGGGCCUUAGCCCAACAGCCAUAAGAAAGUGAAUUCUGCCAAGCACAACAUGAGCUUGAAAGAGGACUCCUUAGCCUCGGAAGAGAUAGCAACCCCAUCUGACACCUAGAUUAGAACCUGUGCAGUCCUGAAGAGACGACUCAGCCAGCUUGUGUCUGAACUCCUGACCCAUGGGAACUGUGAAAUAAGAAAUGUAUAUUGUUUUGAACUGCUAAGUUGGUGCCAGUUUGUUAGACUGUCAUAGAAAAUAAACACAUUUUUACUAAAAUAAGUACUAAUACUAAUACAUAAAGUAAUGUCUAGUAUACUAUAAAACUUGUCAAUUAUAUAUGUUAUGUAUAUCCACAUAUAUAUCUUACACUGAUUAUUUAUUUACACAUGCACAGAACACAUGCCUAAUUUAGCAGCAACAUCUCUAUCUUAAAGUUUUAAUGACAGAACUUUCACCAAAGUUGUGGAACCACUCUACAAAAUUAUGAAAGAACAUAUUUUAAAGGAAACUGCUUGGUGUUUAAGAAUGAUUCCAGGAGGAAAAAAAAGAAAGUUGACAUUAAACUUUGAAGUUGAGUGUCUAUUUGUCCACGGUAAAAGAGAAGAGUUUAAGUAAACUUUGGCCUACAAGAUCUAUAAAGUAUAAAUAAUGUAAUACAAUGUUAAUAUUUCAAUGCCCCUGCCUAAGAGAUUUUUAUAGAUAUAUUUUUCUACUAUGCUACCAUUUCCCAUCAAAUUUUAGCAUAUAAAUAAAUUUGCAUAAUAGAAAUAAACUCUCAAGUAGCACUGUAUAAGACAAAUAUAUGACAUAUCCAUGGUCAUAUGUGUGUUAAAUUUAUGAGUAUUUCAUAAGUAGCCAUGUAUGAUUCCUAAGUCUCUAUCACUUUAGUUGAGUAAAGUUUCUUUUUCAGGAUCUUGGUGAUAUUGUAUGAGGGCAAAUAAACCUAGUGAUUCAGGCCUUCAGAGUUUUGAAGUAGCAUAUGCACAAUAUUGCUACACUGUUUAUGCAAUUUCAACAUAUUACUCAAAUAGAAUUAUGAUUUUUUUCUAAUUUCAGUUUGUCCUCAAGGUUUCAUUUCUCCAUCAGUGAUAUAUUGGAAAACUCCUAGGCAAUAAAUAAACACAGGAUGAGUUGUAAUUUUCUAUUUCUAAAGUAAUAUGUUUGGUAACUGUCAAUGUCCCCACAUCAAUUUGGAUGUCCAUAGAGAAAGUAUUUAUUUUGCACAUUAAAGAUAAGUAGCCUAAGUUGUAUACAUACUCUUUUAAGUUUUUUUAUGAGGAUGUUCAAGUAACUAUUGCUAAUCUAUGUCACUUUCUCCCUAAAAAUAUCAUUUCUUUGGUUUGAGUUGAAUUUGAUGUCCUCAUUCUGUCCUUAAUUAGAUAUGGAUCUUUGAGUUUAUCAUUUAUUCAUUUAUUUCUGCUCAAUAAGGACAGAAAUUAUAUCUGCAGGAGAGGCUGCUAGGAGGAUCAGAUGUAUAUGAAGUUUUGCUAACUAUGAACCCAGUCAUAAACCAGAGUCGUUUGUCUUUUACAUGAUUCCAGUACAUAACAAACAUAUUUUUCCCCUGAGAAUUACAUGUUAGCAAUAUAGUUUUUCAUUAUGUUCUAUUUUUUUUUUAAUGCAGAAGGCUUUUAAAAAAUAUUUUAUUUAUUUAUUUAUUUAUUUGGCUGUGCCGGGUCUUAGUUGCAGUACGCGGGAUCUCCAUUAUGGCAAGCGGGAUCUACUUCCCUGGCCAGGGAUAGAACCCGGGACCCCUGCAUUGGGAUCGUGGAGUCUUAACCACUGGACCUUCAGGGAAGUCCCCAUUGUGUUCUAUUUCUGUGACUAUUGUGCACUGAUUACCUUUAAGAUCCCUUUGUAAAAGCUCCUCCCCUCCCGCCCCCACCCCCCUCUUCUUCCCAACCUUCCUCUUUUGUAAAAGGAACCAUACCUUCUUGAGGCCAUUAGGGUACCAUGGGCCUAGUUAUCUCUUUUCUGGAACUUAACUAUAAAUAUCUCUUUGCGUGUCUCCUCUGCUAGACUAUCCUCAGAACAGGAACAGUGUCUUGUGCGUUAUUUGUUUUGUCAAAAUCCAGCAGAGUACAUAAUGCAUAGUAAUCACUCAAUAAAAUGGUUUUGAUUUUUCCUUUAAUAAAAUAAUAUAUGAAAAAAUGAGGAAAUAGUGAAAGUCUAAGCAAGGAUUACAUAGACUAGUCUCCCUUCAGUCAUCAAGCUAAACUUUCUGAGAGGAAUACUGUUGAUACUAAAACAACAACAACAAAUACCCUUAAGAAGUACAUGAGGAAAGAGCUUGAAAUGUGUAGCCACUUUAGAAAGGCUAAGACCAUCUUUUGGAGUAAAAAGGGAGAUGACUGGGUAUCUUGAGAGGAAGAUACCCAGUAGAGGUAGAGGAAGGGUUAAUAUCAUUUCUUAAAUCUAACCUCAAGUUUAAAUUGUGAUUCUAAUGUUAAUCAUUAUAAGACAUAAGCUUCACAUCUCAUAAAUUCAGUCAGCCUGUUUCCAUUAUCGAGAGCCAUGUUAAAUAAAGAACAGUUUCACAAAGCAUACAUUUCUAGAAAGUCCUUUCUGUACUUUCUCCAAAUUAUGUUUCUUGUCGUACAAGCUACCUUUCAUGAGCUGUCUGCCACGAAGCCCUAAGAAUAAUAAUGCAGAUGUUUGAGUCAAUAAAUGGUACACUUCUCUUUCAGACAACCUAGUGUAUAAAUAGAAAAUACCCCUCCCCUUCCUUUAUAUAUGCCAUGCGUAGAUCACAAUAUCAAUUCAAACAAAGAAAUGGAUGUUCUAGGAACUGGGCGUACAAAUACAUUAUUUCUUCUCUUUGAAAUGAGUGAAGGAAAGGGAACUAAUAAUAAUGUGACAUUGUUGUCUACUCACUAACGACAGCCUGGAAUAAAUAAAAAAGUCUUCCUUUGGUUGUCCUGAUGGUGAGAUAUAACUGCCUUUCAUAAUGCUAGAGGUACAAAUGUCCUCAUAUUUUAAAAAUGUUUGAUAAGAUCCUUAUCUGUCAUAUAUUUCAGUUGAGGCAUUUUAUGCUUUGUAUUGUAUCUAAUAGGCCUAUUCACAAAUGAAGAGUAUAUGAGGGAAAAGAUGAACAUCACUUCAUAACAAGACAUUGCGAUAAACUCUCCUAAAUUAUGAAAGCUUCCAAAUGCAUAUGGCCUUUUUAUUCAUGGCUUUUUCUAUUCACAUAUCAAAGUGCUUCAAGUGGCUUUGAUGACAUACUUAUGAAUUCAUAAAAGUGUUUUUCAUAAUGUGCUCACCUUUGGUGCUGAGAGGUUAUGCAGAUUGCUUUUAUUUGCUUGGCUGGAAAAGAGGAGCUAAGAGUGUGUUGCAGAUACAUCACACUUUAGAACAAUUUCUUACAUUGUCCUUAGCUACUUUUCACAAACUUGCCGGAACUCUCUACCCAAACUUCAGGCAAUGAUAAGAAUAAAUGUCAAAUAUUAUUAGUUCUGGAGUAUAACUACUAAUUUUGGUUUCGACUGCACAGUACAUAGAAAAACCUUGGAACAUUUCCAGUUAUCUUCACGAUCAUGUAGUCCUUAAAACCCUGAACAGACAUUUAAAAUGAAAAAAAGAAAAAAGUACACCAUCGUAUUGAGGCGGCAGAUGCAAGUUAGCAUUAUCAGAAGAUGAAUACUUGCAGCCUUCACUGGCAACCUGAUCAGAUAUAUUCUGUAUAAUUAAAUAAGGGAGCUGUUUAAAAAAUAAAAUUAUAGCAUCUUGGGGAAUGCUUUGUAAAUAAUGGAGUAAGCAGCAGAGGGGACAGCAAAAAAAGUCCAAAUGUGAUUAGCAGUUGCUCUUCAUGAGAAAUUUUCUCCACCUCUAAUUUGACUUUUCUGAAAAGCUUUAAUGAACACUUUCCUCAGUGAUACCGUUUGUUGUUUUAAAUAUCAUCAUGUAAUCUUUGCGGUGUUAUUACUGUAUGAAGAUGACACACUGACGAACUUUGUAAAAUACCAAGUGGCUCUUGGCAGGACGUGUCUAUACUAACUCAUUUCAGCCCGUCGUGUCCCUGUUACCGAGCUCUUUUGCACAAAUGUUAAGGUUAUCACAAUUCCAGAAAGAAACUGGACUUUAUGAAGGCUUGCUUUCUGAAGAAAAGGACUUGGAAGAAAGCAGGAAAUAUUAGUACAUCGAGCAAAGUGAAAGACAAGGUAGUUUAACUUGUUAGUUUGUUUACUGAUCUCAAAAGUAAAUAUACUGCAGCUGAAAGUGUUCCAUUUUUAUCCGCCUGCUGCAGUAAUGGUUGUGUUACUUCAGGGCUUCUACUUCAAUAAUUGAUCAGGGUUUGUAUAGCACCGGCUAAGAGCAAAAAUAAGAGUGUUGCUUUGAACAAACUGCGGCAAUGUUAUAGCAUUAGGCACAGAAACAAGAUUCGGGAAAUAUAGAAGAAACAGGAAAAAGAUGGAUACGUUGGGUGGUAAACACUGCUUCGGGCUAGAAAGUAAUGAGAAUUUUUCCGUAGAGAGUUUUGACCUGCUAUUCAAAACUUGUUUCUUGUCUUAAUAAAUCCUAAAAGUGUAAUUUACUUGCAAAAGGGAAAGAACAAAGGCACCAAAAUUCUUUUGAUAACAACACUUGUUAAGGUUGAUAAGUUGGGUUUCAAAUGUGUGAAGAAAAAUGUGUGACAGUUUGUUUUAAGGUGACAACCUAAGUGUUCAGAUACUUGCAUCUUUUGCUACUUAUCAAGCAGUAGCCAAGUUGUAGCUUCCACUUGUACAUUUGCAGCAUAGACCAUACCGAAGUAAUAUCAGUUGAAUUCAUGGAGAAAAUAUACUCGUAUUUGUUGGUAAAUUGACAACCACAGAUCUCUAUAAUUUUUCUUAAGGUGGUAAGAAAGGUGGUAAGACUUUUUUCUUUGGUUUUAAUUUGUUUUGCAUUACAAAUAAGGAAACACCAGUCCUUUCAGAAAAUAAUUUUUUUCUGAACAUAGAGUUUUCCAAAGAUGAUAGUUACAUAUUUUCUGCUUUUUCUGAGUUGAAUCUUACAUGACUCACAGGGGUCUCAACUGUUAGAUGCCAACUACUGCAUACAUACGUGUCCAUUCAGCAAAAAUUUGUGUUUGUCUUAUAAGCUAUUUAUGAAUUUUUAGUUUAGCCUUCUUUUUUUUUAAUAAUUUUCUUUCUUUGUUUUUUUUGGGGGGCUGUGUUGGGUCUUCAUUGCUGCGCACGGGCUUUCUCUAGUUGCGGCGAGCAGGGUCUACUCUUCACUGAGGUGUGAGGGCUUCUCAUUGCAGUGGCUUCUCUUGUUGCAGAGCACGGGCUCUAGGCAUGUGGGUUUCAGUAGUUGUGGUAUGUGGGCUCAGUAGUUGUGGUGCACAGGCUUAGUUGCUCCACGGCAUGUGGGAUCUUCCCGGACCAGGGCUUGAACCCGUGUCCCCUGCAUUGGUAGGUGGAUUCUUAACCACUGUGCCACCAGGGAAGUCCCUAGUUUAGGCUUCUUGAUUGUGUGUGUGUGUGUAUAUGUCUGUGUGUGCACACACACGAAAAUCAACUUGAAGAUUAGGAAGCAUGAGGUGGUAAAUUCUAAGUUUAACUUACGAUUCAUGCUAUUAAAAUAACUACUGUAACCUGCUGCUCUGGUGUGGUAAUAGUGAUAAGAUGUAAAGCAAGAUUACCAAAUUUUAAUAACAGUGUAGGAAAGACACUAUGAUGUUAAUAAUAAUGUGAUUUAUUCCAUUAUGAAACACAUUGCCAAGGAGUGAUUAUUUAUUUUAUGCCUAAUUACCAUGGAGGAAAAAAAUUAAACAGUUAUAUAUUUCAUACCAAAGAAUAAGCAAAAAAGGAUCUAAAAUUAUUUGUUCUCAAUUAUAUAGACCCUUCCUGGUAAAAAUGAUAUACCAAAUAAUUGUUUCAGUUCUCUACUUUGCAUGUACAUGUACCACUGUAAUUAAAAGGCAUGUACUGGGUUGAGAAUGUGAAGAUCAAGUUUAGCUUUUUCCACACUGAGUACCUAAAAUGUCCGUAGAGCUCCACAAGCAAAUGAGUUUGGAUAUGCUGAGCUAAAUAAAGAUAAAUAGGCUUUUUUUACUGAAGAAUUUCUCAGGGCUUUAAGGAUUCUAGUGUACACUACAAACCUCCAUGCAGGGCCAGGAAUGCAGUGUUCCCAAGCAGAUCUCAUGAUGAACAUUUUUGUUCAGAACCUCAAGGGACUGGUGAGUCUUGGAACAUACUUUGAGAAAUACUGAUCUUGACCUAUACCAGCACCAACCCUGAUUCGCUGUGCAGUGAGAAAAUCACUUUCUUUGUUCUUCAACUUUCUAAAUUAAAAAAAGUCCACAGAAUUCUCUGUAUAUUUCACAAGAAUUGAAAACCCUCUUGAUAAUUGUUGUCAUAAUAAAAUAUUAUUUAAAAUAAAAAUGACAAAAUGGUUAGAUGCCAAAUCAGAGCAGUUGACUGGACUCUCUAACCAGCUAAACGGUAUAUGUGGGCAAUAGGCACCGUGCAUGCAUGAUUUUGUUUGGGAUUCAGCUAAUUUCUCUGUGGUACACAGUUUGGGGAAUCUCACAGUGAGUUGAUACCAUAAAUAUUAAAGGUUUAAAUGCCAAGGAACUGUUCAAAAUGAUUGGAACGUUUCUUCUACUCAUUCAGGGUACAUUUAGUAUGUCAAGCAGUAACCUAGGAAGUAGGAACAGAGCUGAGAAAUGCAGAAUCUGUAUUUAAGGAGAUACCUAGGCAGGGAAGACAGACCCGAAAGUAAACAAGAACCAUACUUGUUAUCAAACAAUGUGUUAAGGCCUAUGGUGAGGUGGAAACCAUAGAGUCCUGUGGGUGCAUGUGGUAGGGGUUUGGGUAAAUUAUCCAGACUGGGAAAAGCAAAUGGUAAUAUUUGAGCUAGUUCAUGAAGCAAUUGAACAAAUUAUUCAGGCAGAGAAAAUACAUUCCAAAAAGACAGGAUGGCAAGUACACAGGCAUAGGAAAAAUUAUGAUAUGUUUCAUGAUUCAUAUAUAAAGCUCAAGGGGAGGGGAGGGAAGCAGGAAUGGUAAGUGAAAAUAAUGAUAGAGUUUUUAAAUGUUAUGCCAUAGACUUGGAUGUUUUCCUCUGGGUAUUAGAGGAACCACUAAAGGACCUACGUUUAUGAGGGGAAAGAUAGAUGAUAGAGACAGCCACGAAUAGAUGAUGAUAUCUGUGUUUUCUGACAUGUAUGAAUGUGUGAGAGCAUGACUUAGAUUGGGAAUAGAGUUUGGAGAGUUGAAAAUUAUGUAACCUAACAAAGUUUACCCAGGACAGCUUGCCCUUGUUAUGAUAUUUAAAAAUAAAAUAAUUGAUCAUUAUAUGAUUGUAUCCUAUAUCACUGAUUUUCAAAUUAUUUCUAUCCUCUCAAUCCUUCACUCAUGCAUUGUGCAAUAAAGAAAAUGCAGUAAAAAAAAUACCAAGAGAGGAUGGCUUUGUUUGGUUGGUGGGGACAUGGGUAUAGGAGGCCCCAGGGAACAACCCAAGUAGGCCCCUGGGAAUUUAGAAUAAAACCGUGGAACACAGUGAGGCAGAGUUUUAAAAGUACUCUUUUUUUUAAUAUAAAUUUUAUUUAUUUUUUGGCUGCGUUGGGUCUUUGUUGCUGCAGGCAGGCUUUCUCUAGUUGUGGCAAGUGGGGGCUACUCUUCGUCGCGGUGCUCAUGCUUCUCAUUGUGGUGGCUUCUCUUGUUGUGGAGCACAGGCUCUAGGCACAUAAGCUUCAGUAGUUGUGGCGUGCUGGCUCAGUAGUUGUGACUCACGGGCUCGAAAGCUCAGGUUCACUAGUUGUGGCACAUGGCCUUAGUUGCUCUGUGGCAUGUGAGAUCUUCCCAGACCAGGGAUCAAACCCGUGUCCCCUGCAUUGGCAGGCAGAUUCGUAACCACUGUGACACCAGGGAAGUCCCCAAAGUAUUCUUCUAAGUAUUAGAAAAUAACAUGUGUGACAUUCUAACAGCUUAUUUUGUAUUUAAAGAAGACUUUUUGCUUUCUCUUUCAAAUUCUUUUAAAAUUUUGGUUUUCUUUCUUCAUUGCACAAUAUUUAUUAAGAACUUAA
Molecule: long non-coding RNA, 39355 nt
Organism: Orcinus orca (killer whale)
Lineage: Eukaryota; Metazoa; Chordata; Mammalia; Artiodactyla; Delphinidae
Exons: 2
Source: RefSeq, a predicted model, not a curated record